RNAcentral lists this ribosomal RNA (433 nucleotides) under uncultured bacterium. Its description in RNAcentral is "partial 16S ribosomal RNA". It matches the Rfam family "Bacterial small subunit ribosomal RNA", at positions 29 to 507 of the family's 1533-position model. The record is from RNAcentral.
AACGAACGCUGGCGGCAUGCCUAACACAUGCAAGUCGAACGAGACCUUCGGGUCUAGUGGCGCACGGGUGCGUAACGCGUGGGAAUCUGCCCUUCGGUUGGGAAUAACUGAGAGAAAUUUCAGCUAAUACCUUAUAAUGUCUUCGGACCAAAGAUUUAUCGCCGAGGGAUGAGCCCGCGUAGGAUUAGGUAGUUGGUGGGGUAAUGGCCUACCAAGCCGACGAUCCUUAGCUGGUCUGAGAGGAUGAUCAGCCACACUGGGACUGAGACACGGCCCAGACUCCUACGGGAGGCAGCAGUGGGGAAUAUUGGACAAUGGGCGAAAGCCUGAUCCAGCAAUGCCGCGUGAGUGAUGAAGGCCUUAGAGUUGUAAAGCUCUUUUACCCGGGAUGAUAAUGACAGUACCGGGAGAAUAAGCUCCGGCUAACUCCGUG